AGGAAAGCCAAGAGGUCUCAUCACCUCCCAGGUGAGCCUCAGGCGGCUGACCGCGGCGUUGUCCAGCCCCAUGACCACGGCGUAGAAGGACAGCAGGUCCUGGUUCUGCUUGCAGCUGCGGAGGCGGGAGAUAAGGGGACAAAAGCUGAGAGAGGUUCUAGGUGCAUUGCCCCAGGGGGUGCUGCAAGGGAGCAUCCGAGCCUACGCCCUCCCUCCAUGCCCCCAGUCCAGUUCCAGCCCUCAUCCCCACCUCGUGCACACAGCGGAACAGCUCCCAGUGGAAGGCGGACUGAAUGCUGCUUACUGAAUAUUAUUUUCAUCCUGCGGGCCUAGCUGGCACCUGCCUGGCACACGGUUAUUUGUGUCUAUUCGAUUUGUAUGGUGAAAAUACUACACAAUGGCCUGCACAGCUCUCCUCUCUUCUCAGCGUCACACUCAGUGAUGUCAUGGUGGCAGCUUGAAAUCAACCAUGGUGAGAGAAUUUACACCAUGGGAAUCAGCAAAAGCUACAUAUCAGGGCUGUCUUCCUGAAAGUGCUGGGUUGUUAAAUAUUAAUCAGUACACCACUGCAUUGACAAAUAAAAGGAUGGGAGCUCCCCA
This is a non-coding RNA of Sus scrofa (pig), 600 nucleotides long. NCBI's taxonomy places the organism in Eukaryota, Metazoa, Chordata, Mammalia, Artiodactyla, Suidae. The record is from RefSeq and is a predicted model, not a curated record.